AUUGAACGCUGGCGGAAUGCUUUACACAUGCAAGUCGAACGGCAGCACGGGUGCUUGCACCUGGUGGCGAGUGGCGAACGGGUGAGUAAUGCACCGGAACGUAUCCAAUAAUGGGGGAUAACGCACCGAAAGGUGUGCUAAUACCGCAUACGCCCUGAGGGGGAAAGCGGGGGAUCGUAAGACCUCGCGUUAAUGGAGCGGCCGAUGCCGGAUUAGCUAGUUGGUGAGGUAAAGGCUCACCAAGGCGACGAUCCGUAGCUGGUCUGAGAGGACGACCAGCCACACUGGAACUGAGACACGGUCCAGACUCCUACGGGAGGCAGCAGUGGGGAAUUUUGGACAAUGGGCGCAAGCCUGAUCCAGCCAUUCCGCGUGAGUGAAGAAGGCC
Molecule: ribosomal RNA, 388 nt
Filed under: uncultured bacterium
Lineage: Bacteria
Description: bacterial SSU rRNA
Rfam family: Bacterial small subunit ribosomal RNA
Source: RNAcentral